Molecule: long non-coding RNA, 480 nt
Filed under: Eucalyptus grandis
Lineage: Eukaryota; Viridiplantae; Streptophyta; Magnoliopsida; Myrtales; Myrtaceae
Description: long non-coding RNA (EGRA_LNC001764)
Source: RNAcentral
AACCGAAGCUGCCCAUCUUCGACCGACCGAGCUGCCACGUGCACCUUCACCAUUCAACCAGCAAAAUUCAACGCUGUCUUCACCACCGAAAUUCUUCAGCAACCGAACUCUGCAUCACCGCCAGCACGUGCGCACGCCUGCCAAGCCCACGCCCCCGCACGAAGCUCUCGUUUGACCGAAGCCCAGCCGCUUGCUGCCACUCGUCCGCUUCUCCAUCAGCUCGCCUCUCCAAGGUCAACAAAACCACGUCUCCUUCCACCGAGCGAAGCCCCACGCGUCCACCGAGCCCUCUCUGCCCCGAAGACCCUCAGCUCGACGCCAGAAAACGGCCAGCUCGCCCUCUCCUCCCACGCGUGGUCUUCUCCAGCGAAGUUGGUCUUCAAUUCUCGAGGCCCAACAGCAGCCUUUGCUGCUUCUUGUUCGGCCCAACGGCCCGAGCAAAGUCAGCCCAGCAAAUUUCUUUCGGGCCCAACAAAGCCA